RNAcentral lists this ribosomal RNA (355 nucleotides) under uncultured bacterium. RNAcentral describes it as "partial 16S ribosomal RNA". It matches the Rfam family "Bacterial small subunit ribosomal RNA", at positions 338 to 690 of the family's 1533-position model. The record is from RNAcentral.
CCUACGGUAGGCAGCAGUGAGGAAUAUUUGUCAAUGGGCGUAAGCCUGAACCAGCCAAGUCGCGUGAGGGAUGAAGGUUCUAUGGAUCGUAAACCUCUUUUAUAAGGGAAUAAAGUGUGGGACGUGUCCUGUUUUGUAUGUACCUUAUGAAUAAGGAUCGGCUAACUCCGUGCCAGCAGCCGCGGUAAUACGGAGGAUCCGAGCUUUAUCCGGAUUUAUUGGGUUUAAAGGGUGCUUAGGCGGCCGUUUAAGUCAUCGGUGAAAGUCUGUGGUUCAACCAUAGAAUUGCCAUGGAAACUGGGAGGUUUGAGUAUGUUUGAGGCAGGCGGAAUGCGUGGUGUAGCGGUGAAAUGCU